RNAcentral lists this ribosomal RNA (2905 nucleotides) under Cronobacter sakazakii SP291. RNAcentral's name for it is "bacterial LSU rRNA". It matches the Rfam family "Bacterial large subunit ribosomal RNA". The record is from RNAcentral. Lineage: Bacteria; Pseudomonadati; Pseudomonadota; Gammaproteobacteria; Enterobacterales; Enterobacteriaceae.
GGUUAAGCGAACAAGCGUACACGGUGGAUGCCCUGGCAGUCAGAGGCGAUGAAGGACGUGCUAAUCUGCGAAAAGCGCCGGUAAGGUGAUAUGAACCGUUAUAACCGGCGAUGUCCGAAUGGGGAAACCCGGUGCACUUCGGUGCAUCAUCGUUAGCUGAAUACAUAGGCUAACGAGGCGAACCGGGGGAACUGAAACAUCUAAGUACCCCGAGGAAAAGAAAUCAACCGAGAUUCCCCCAGUAGCGGCGAGCGAACGGGGAAGAGCCCAGAGCCUGAAUCAGCUUGUGUGUCAGUGGAACGGUCUGGAAAGGCCGGCGAUACAGGGUGACAGCCCCGUACACGAAGGCACACAGGCUGUGAGCUCGAUGAGUAGGGCGGGACACGUGAUAUCCUGUCUGAAGAUGGGGGGACCAUCCUCCAAGGCUAAAUACUCCUGACUGACCGAUAGUGAACCAGUACCGUGAGGGAAAGGCGAAAAGAACCCCGGCGAGGGGAGUGAAACAGAACCUGAAACCGUGUACGUACAAGCAGUGGGAGCCUUCGUAAGAGGGUGACUGCGUACCUUUUGUAUAAUGGGUCAGCGACUUAUAUUCUGUAGCAAGGUUAACCGUAUAGGGGAGCCGAAGGGAAACCGAGUCUUAACCGGGCGUUAAGUUGCAGGGUAUAGACCCGAAACCCGGUGAUCUAGCCAUGGGCAGGUUGAAGGUUGGGUAACACUAACUGGAGGACCGAACCGACUAAUGUUGAAAAAUUAGCGGAUGACCUGUGGCUGGGGGUGAAAGGCCAAUCAAACCGGGAGAUAGCUGGUUCUCCCCGAAAGCUAUUUAGGUAGCGCCUCGUGAACUCAUCUCCGGGGGUAGAGCACUGUUUCGGCUAGGGGGCCAUCCCGGCUUACCAACCCGAUGCAAACUGCGAAUACCGGAGAAUGUUAUCACGGGAGACACACGGCGGGUGCUAACGUCCGUCGUGAAGAGGGAAACAACCCAGACCGCCAGCUAAGGUCCCAAAGUCAUGGUUAAGUGGGAAACGAUGUGGGAAGGCCCAGACAGCCAGGAUGUUGGCUUAGAAGCAGCCAUCAUUUAAAGAAAGCGUAAUAGCUCACUGGUCGAGUCGGCCUGCGCGGAAGAUGUAACGGGGCUAAACCAUGCACCGAAGCUGCGGCAGCGACACUAUGUGUUGUUGGGUAGGGGAGCGUUCUGUAAGCCUGCGAAGGUGUGCUGUGAGGCAUGCUGGAGGUAUCAGAAGUGCGAAUGCUGACAUAAGUAACGAUAAAGCGGGUGAAAAGCCCGCUCGCCGGAAGACCAAGGGUUCCUGUCCAACGUUAAUCGGGGCAGGGUGAGUCGACCCCUAAGGCGAGGCCGAAAGGCGUAGUCGAUGGGAAACAGGUUAAUAUUCCUGUACUUGGUGUUACUGCGAAGGGGGGACGGAGAAGGCUAUGUCGGCCGGGCGACGGUUGUCCCGGUUUAAGCGUGUAGGCUGACUUUCCAGGCAAAUCCGGAAAAGUCAAGGCUGAGGCGUGAUGACGAGGCACCACGGUGCUGAAGUGACAAAUGCCCUGCUUCCAGGAAAAGCCUCUAAGCAUCAGGUAACAUUAAAUCGUACCCCAAACCGACACAGGUGGUCAGGUAGAGAAUACCAAGGCGCUUGAGAGAACUCGGGUGAAGGAACUAGGCAAAAUGGUGCCGUAACUUCGGGAGAAGGCACGCUGACAUGUAGGUGAAGCCCCUGCGGGUGGAGCUGAAGUCAGUCGAAGAUACCAGCUGGCUGCAACUGUUUAUUAAAAACACAGCACUGUGCAAACACGAAAGUGGACGUAUACGGUGUGACGCCUGCCCGGUGCCGGAAGGUUAAUUGAUGGGGUUAUCGCAAGAGAAGCUCCUGAUCGAAGCCCCGGUAAACGGCGGCCGUAACUAUAACGGUCCUAAGGUAGCGAAAUUCCUUGUCGGGUAAGUUCCGACCUGCACGAAUGGCGUAAUGAUGGCCAGGCUGUCUCCACCCGAGACUCAGUGAAAUUGAACUCGCUGUGAAGAUGCAGUGUACCCGCGGCAAGACGGAAAGACCCCGUGAACCUUUACUACAGCUUGACACUGAACAUUGAGCCUUGAUGUGUAGGAUAGGUGGGAGGCUUUGAAGCGUGGACGCCAGUCUGCGUGGAGCCGACCUUGAAAUACCACCCUUUAAUGUUUGAUGUUCUAACCUGGCGCCGUGAUCCGGCGUGGGGACAGUGUCUGGUGGGUAGUUUGACUGGGGCGGUCUCCUCCCAAAGUGUAACGGAGGAGCACGAAGGUCAGCUAAUCCUGGUCGGACAUCAGGAGGUUAGUGCAAUGGCAUAAGCUGGCUUGACUGCGAGAGUGACGGCUCGAGCAGGUGCGAAAGCAGGUCAUAGUGAUCCGGUGGUUCUGUAUGGAAGGGCCAUCGCUCAACGGAUAAAAGGUACUCCGGGGAUAACAGGCUGAUACCGCCCAAGAGUUCAUAUCGACGGCGGUGUUUGGCACCUCGAUGUCGGCUCAUCACAUCCUGGGGCUGAAGUAGGUCCCAAGGGUAUGGCUGUUCGCCAUUUAAAGUGGUACGCGAGCUGGGUUUAGAACGUCGUGAGACAGUUCGGUCCCUAUCUGCCGUGGGCGCUGGAGAAUUGAGGGGGGCUGCUCCCAGUACGAGAGGACCGGAGUGGACGCAUCACUGGUGUUCGGGUUGUCAUGCCAAUGGCACUGCCCGGUAGCUAAAUGCGGAAGAGAUAAGUGCUGAAAGCAUCUAAGCACGAAACUUGCCCCGAGAUGAGUUCUCCCUGAGACUGUAAGUCUCCUGAAGGAACGUUGAAGACGACGACGUUGAUAGGCCGGGUGUGUAAGCGCAGCGAUGCGUUGAGCUAACCGGUACUAAUGAACCGUGAGGCUUAACCUUAC